CACGUAGGGGGCAAGCGUUGUCCGGAUUCAUUGGGCGUAAAGAGCUCGUAGGCGGUUCGAUAAGUCGGGUGUGAAACCUCCAGGCUCAACCUGGAGACGCCACCCGAUACUGUCGUGACUAGAGUCCAGUAGGGGAGCGUGGAAUUCCUGGUGUAGCGGUGAAAUGCGCAGAUAUCAUGAGGAACACCAGUGGCGAAGGCGGCGCUCUGGGCUGGCACUGACGCUGAGGAGCGAAAGCGUGGGGAGCGAACAGG
RNAcentral lists this ribosomal RNA (254 nucleotides) under uncultured bacterium. Its description in RNAcentral is "partial 16S ribosomal RNA". It matches the Rfam family "Bacterial small subunit ribosomal RNA", at positions 524 to 776 of the family's 1533-position model. The record is from RNAcentral.